UUUGUCGGAAAUGAAACACCCUUACCAUAACCGAGUUUCAGGCUUCCUUACCGCUGUAAACACUACUGUAACUAUGGUAAAAGUGGCGUCAGUUUUUGCUGUACUAGUUUGAGUCCGAUAAUGAAAGUUUGGAGAAGAAGCUGAUUGACCUGAACCACCUUCCAAGCACGACUUGAGCAAGAUGUUUCACAGUGAAUGCCCAAAUCCCACUACUUAGAAGGUCCUCGUUGUGACAUGGUUACUCGCCUCAAUCCGGGUGGCGGAGGACAAGUGUCAGUUGCCUCUGCUUCUGAGAGAGUCAAUCCACAUAUCUUAUCAUGUGGCUCGUUGUGCACGACACCGCUGAGACUCACAGUAUGUAGAGGCUCAUGCUACUCUCCGUGAUCCAUGCACAACUCUCCACAUGCCCCAUUGAAAGCGGGAACCACUAAUCGCGGCCACAAGGAGAUUACCCCAUGUGACUCUACCCUCACUAGCAACCAGGCUAAUUUGGUUGCUUAGGAGACCUGGCUGGAGUCACUCAGCAUGCCCUGGAUUUUAACUUGCGACUCCAGGGGUGGUACUCAGCGUCAAUAUUUGUGGAGUUACCCAGGUCCCUGUUUUUUUGUCUCUUUUUAAUUUUUUUUGUAUAUUUUUUUUAACAUAUGUAUAGGACAGAGUAUGGAUUUUUUUGGUACCCUGCAAAAAGUCCUAAUGUGUAGUACUUGAUGUGACAUUUAAAUGACUUUCGUUUCUGUGCCCUAUGCAGUCAGGUUUAUUCAGUCAUAUUAAAUUAUAUUUUUUACUAGAAUAAAACCAGUUGAUUGAGGCACUUGUUUAGGUUACAAAUGAUGGUGUAUGAUAAAAAGAGGCAUCUACUAAGUGCAUUUCAAUACUCUGCUAAUAAAGUUUUAUUUUGUAUACAGUGAGAAUAAACAAAAAUGUCCCUGUCUCUGUUCUAUGGUAAUGAACAUAUGAAGAAUAAACAUUUACAUCAUUAACUGUUCAGUCUGUAAAAGGGGCAUUUGAAAUAAUCUAGUGUUAAAAGGCCAUAACAUUGGGAGUGUUGAUAUUUGAUGGGUUUUGUUGUUUUGUUGCCACUGAUCAUAAUGCAAUAGUGUAUUGAUGGUGCUGUUAAUGAUCAAGUAGUGUGAAUGUUGUUAUAGAAUCACCUGUGAAGUUCUGGUUGUCUAAUUGUUUAUAAACAUGUUUACCACAUAUCAGUUUGUCUGUGCAUUGAACUAUCACACAGACCCUGACCUCUGCAUGACA
RNA transcript from Xyrauchen texanus (razorback sucker), 1251 nucleotides. It is a transcript of the gene named relaxin-like, with no coding region annotated. The record is from RefSeq and is a predicted model, not a curated record. Lineage: Eukaryota; Metazoa; Chordata; Actinopteri; Cypriniformes; Catostomidae. The transcript has 2 exons.